RNAcentral lists this long non-coding RNA (4778 nucleotides) under Marmota monax (woodchuck). Lineage: Eukaryota; Metazoa; Chordata; Mammalia; Rodentia; Sciuridae. The record is from RNAcentral.
GCAAACUCCUUCAGGGACUCUACUGUGGGCGGCUCUGGGGCACUAGCUGUGGGGGGAAUAGGAUAGUGAACGCAGUCUGCAUUCUCACCCCUGUGAUGGCCUCCUUGCCCCUAACGUAGCUGGUACACAGGAGGCAACCUCCUUACCCCAACCGCACCUGGCACACGGGAGGUACUUAGCAGAUGCCUUCUGCACGCCCAGCGGGGAAGCCCCUUUGCCCACAGAGUUCCCCAGCGAGCCUGCAGGUGGCUGGGCCCCAGGAGAGCUGUCUGGCAGCAGACGGCCCUGUGGGAGCCCCAGAGCCUGGCCUGGGUGCCUUCAACUUUCCCGUCUGGACUUCUCUCAUUUCCCUGAACCAGAUGCAUGUUAUCCCGUGGGGACGAACCGGCUGGUCCUUCACUGUGGUGCUGUGUCCCCAUCAUCCACAGCUCCCAGAACACACACGGCCCCAGACCCUCCGAGGCCUCCCCAGCGGGUCCCCUCUGAGCCACGUGGUUUGCUUUUCUAGAGUCUCUCAGUGCAUUCUCACACUUGUGAGCACCAGGGGCCACAGGAUGCAGGCACCUCCAGCCAAACACACGCGCUGAACAGCCAGAGUCACUUCCAAAGUCCUCCAAGUCCCAGCGGGACCAGCCCCUGUUAGCACAACUCCAGAGCUUACUGGGAAUGUGGGUAAACACUCUGGCAAGACACUCGCCCUGACAGCCGUGAUGAAUAGCUGGACUCGCUCUCCACCUGGCCCAGCUCGCUCCAAAUGCAAGCUCUGGAAAGAUCCUUUUCUCGUUUGCCCUUUGGUAAGUGCUGAGGCAUGAACAAAAGUCCAUUCCCAAGCUGGGUACCUAAUUUUUAUUAAUAAUAUCUCCACUCUAUCAAUCACUGCUAACUAACGGGAACACUUAAAGAAAUUAAUUUAAACCUGGCAAGAGGAAACACAGCAGUCCACUGCUUUCCCUCCUCGGUGAAUUCUGAGACUUUGGCUGCACUGAAAUGUGCGCCGUGCCAUGGGCUGGCCGGCUCAGCUUCCCCCAGUGGAGGCCAGCUUCUCUUUCUGCAACGAGGCACCCUGGACAAGGGGCAGUGUCAGCAGAGUCUCCUAAUUACUUCCCGACACCCCACCUGUUCUCAGAAGUGCUGGAGUGGCCACAGCCCACAGGGGGCCUGGGCACAGGGCUGGCCCACAGGUUGGGGGAGCUGCCCAUUCUUUGCAGGACACACCUGAUGCAGAGGUGGGGCCCCUGCUGUGUGGCUAUUCCUGCAAGUUCAGGCGUCUACAUUUUUUACCCAAAGGUAGAGACACAUGGGCCAGGAAGACACAGGCGAGAUGCAGGAGUUGAACAACCCUGAGAGGAUAUACUCUAUUCUUGCUUUGUCUUGCCCCUGGAUGCUGGUCCCUAUCUAACCUGAAACCUGGUGCUCCAAAGAUGGCUGGCUGUGGGCCCGUCUUCAGGGGCCCAUGUUUAUUUGUUCUCAGCAAAAUACAAUGUCUGGGAUAAAAGUCAAAGACAGCACUGGCGCAUCCCCACACCCAUCCCCACACCGAGACUUCUUCCCAAACCACAAAACAAGGGAGGCUGGACUUCCGAAGAGCUGCCCACGGUGCUGGAGGGGACGGUUCAGGUGCUUUGGGCCAACACAUGUUUUCAGAGUGAUGUAUUUGAAGACAGGCAGCAAGUGCUUCUGCACUUGGAUAUUUCUGCAUACAUAUUGAAUGUGGGAAGCUUAUUUGAGCAGUGUUAAAAAAAACUUUAUCUUUUAAUUUAAUGUUUAAAUUAAUUGAUUUUAUAACUCCUUUUAGAAGCUUCUUACAUUUCGGAGAGUAGUUAUUUUUUAAGUUGUGCUUUGUUUUAUUUUUGAGUGACACAUGAUAACUGUAUACAUUUGAUGCCUUGUUUUCUCCCUUUCAUGUGAAAGUCUCAGGUGUCCUUUAUGUUCAUGUGGUCUCCACAGCCUCCGUUCAGAGAGCGGAGGCAGAGGAAGUCAGUGGGGUUGGAUAAUUGCAUUCAGCAGGUGCCACAUACAGAGCAGCUCCUGUGAAUUAUUAAUGAUAAAUUAUUUGGGGAAAAAACUUCUUGGACUUUCUUUGUCGUACUUUUAACAAUUGAGCACGAUACUCGUCAGACAGCUUCUUGCGAGCUGUCAAAUUAUUUAAAUGACAGAUGAAUGUGCUGGGUAUGUAACGAAAAAAGAGUGCUCUCUGUGCUGGUUUGAUGGGCACCGUUCGGGCUUUUCAAAAUAAAGGUUCUGAGCACUUUAAUUUUGGAGUGACUUGCCGUGGUUCACCAAAGAGAUUUAAAAUGCUCUCAACUACUUUGGAAAAGAACAGAAAGAAAGUUUGGUGCUUCGUACAAACAGAGGAACACUCCACAAGUGACAUUUGAAAAGCAGCGACGGUGGUAAUCACUGCUCAAAAUACACUCAGAGGCGCUCUGCUCUCAUUGUUCCUGAUGGAUCUCAUUGUUCCGGGUAUUGUCGUGUCAAAAGAAAGUUUCAUGUGACAUCUGUUGUUCCUUAAGAAAAACAAAAAAAGCCCAAGUCAGAGAUGAGAUCCAACUUCGCUCUGGAAACCGAGGCCUACACAGGUCACCAGGGUGAACAUGGAGGCCGCAUCGUCUCUGGCUGCAGGCCCUGUGUCCCAGCAGAUGGGCCUUGACUUGCUGCACUCCUGCCCCUGGCUGCUCCGGCCCAAGCUCUGCAGAGCCCCGGUCCUUCAGCAGCACAUCCUGAGUGCAGUGCAAGGGCUGGGUGACAUGGGCGAGCUCAAAGGACAACCAAAAGAAUCCCGAACAUUUCAGUCCUUGUUUUGGUUUUUUUUUUUUUAAAUACACCCCUUCUGCUGAAUCCAUCCUCUGAAUCAGAGGAUGGUCAGCCCUCAGGAGCUGCAAGUUCCCUUCGAACUGCAAAACGAGCUCAGCUUUUGUGAGUUAACUUUGAUCGUAUCCUAGAGUUGGUCUCAUGCCCACCUCGGAGCCUUUGCCUGUACUGACUCCUGCCUGCAGCACCUGUCCUGGUUCGUGCGUGGUUGGGCCUUCUUGUCAUUCUCGUCCCAGCAGCUCCCACACCCUCGGGCAUACCGCCCCAUACCUGCAGCAUUCCCUCCCAGAACUUUCACUAUUCCAUAUUAGCUUCUCCACUGCUUCUUCACAUGUUAAAUCAGAAUCCCUGACUAGGACCUGAGCUCUGUCCUGGGCAACACUGUCUAGGUCAGCCCUGAAGACUGUCUCCGCCAGGGUGAGUGCUCACAGUGUUGCUGGGUAAGAGUGGCUUCAGCUUAUUAACCAACGUCUCGGCUGGUUCUCUGGUCUGGGAUUAUGAUGUGGGGUCCUAAGGUCCUACGGGUCCGAGGUGGGGACCUCUGGGUAGCACAAGACCCUGUUUCCCUGCAGGCCAGCCCGGCGGCCUUGCCAUCCAAACAUCAGUCUCCAGGGUUCUGCUAAGACGAGGCCACCUCUGAUACCCCAACUGCCAGGUUGCCCACAGCCCUGGUCCAGGGAUGUGCAGAGUUAGAGGUCCUAACCCUGGCAUGUGGGAGGCUCAGCCUGGUGUAAAUGUCCACACCCACCCCUGCACUAGGGACUCAGCCGUAGGCCCUGCCCAGGCCUCCGUCUCUGACUUCCUCCAGAGCUCGCUUAUUUGCCUGAGGUACUUUACCUCUCUCCUUGCCUGAGACCCCAGAGCCUAUUUCUGCAAUAAUUCUUCAUUAAGAAAAUGAAAUACAAAAAUAAAACAGCCUCUUGCCAGGCUUAACAGCAGCACUAAAUUAGAUCUCUGUGAGUAGCCAAGUGGCCACUGUAAAAGAGAUGGAUGGGCUUUUAGCCUCAGAAACACACAGCAUCUUCUAGAACUUGGCAGAACUGACGGUCCCGACACACUCUCACCAGAGGCAGAGCCCUCCCUACCGCCUGCCUCGGAGCUGCCUUUGGAGAUGUGGGGGAGGCUUUGAGGUUGUCACAGAGAUGGGGGGUGCCAUGGGUGUUCAGGGGCCAGGGAUGCUCUACAUCCUGCAGAGGGCUGUACUGGGCCAAGAAAGUCCUGUCCCAAGUGCCAGGACAUCUCCUGGGAGUCUCUGCACCCUNCGAAGAGCUGCCCACGGUGCUGGAGGGGACGGUUCAGGUGCUUUGGGCCAACACAUGUUUUCAGAGUGAUGUAUUUGAAGACAGGCAGCAAGUGCUUCUGCACUUGGAUAUUUCUGCAUACAUAUUGAAUGUGGGAAGCUUAUUUGAGCAGUGUUAAAAAAAACUUUAUCUUUUAAUUUAAUGUUUAAAUUAAUUGAUUUUAUAACUCCUUUUAGAAGCUUCUUACAUUUCGGAGAGUAGUUAUUUUUUAAGUUGUGCUUUGUUUUAUUUUUGAGUGACACAUGAUAACUGUAUACAUUUGAUGCCUUGUUUUCUCCCUUUCAUGUGAAAGUCUCAGGUGUCCUUUAUGUUCAUGUGGUCUCCACAGCCUCCGUUCAGAGAGCGGAGGCAGAGGAAGUCAGUGGGGUUGGAUAAUUGCAUUCAGCAGGUGCCACAUACAGAGCAGCUCCUGUGAAUUAUUAAUGAUAAAUUAUUUGGGGAAAAAACUUCUUGGACUUUCUUUGUCGUACUUUUAACAAUUGAGCACGAUACUCGUCAGACAGCUUCUUGCGAGCUGUCAAAUUAUUUAAAUGACAGAUGAAUGUGCUGGGUAUGUAACGAAAAAAGAGUGCUCUCUGUGCUGGUUUGAUGGGCACCGUUCGGGCUUUUCAAAAUAAAGGUUCUGAGCACUUUAAUUUUGGAGUGACUUGCCGUGGUUCACCAAAG